RNAcentral lists this ribosomal RNA (300 nucleotides) under Triticum aestivum (bread wheat). RNAcentral describes it as "partial small subunit ribosomal RNA". Lineage: Eukaryota; Viridiplantae; Streptophyta; Magnoliopsida; Poales; Poaceae. The record is from RNAcentral.
GGCCUCUUCCUCCCCUGCGUUGGCGUGUGGCAGCAUGACCGGGUCGAGAUCAUCGCCAAUGACUAGGGAAACCGCACCACGCUCUCCUACGUCGCCUUCACCGACACCGAGUGCCUCAUCGACGCCGCUAAGAACCAGGUCGCCAUGAACCCCACCAACACCGUAUUCGGUACGUGCCACCCUCCCUCCCUCCCGACCCGCUGUGUAUCAUGCGUCGUCUGUUGGAUGAGAUCUCUGUGGAUGCGUGCGGUCCUUGUUCUGUUCUUACGCGCACGAUGUGAUAUGAUUUAUUCUGAAUAA